This 266-nucleotide long non-coding RNA is filed under the name Nicotiana benthamiana. Its description in RNAcentral is "long non-coding RNA (NBEN_LNC033071)". Lineage: Eukaryota; Viridiplantae; Streptophyta; Magnoliopsida; Solanales; Solanaceae. The record is from RNAcentral.
CUGGUCCGUACCUUCGUAGGUGAUCUCCAAUUUAUCCCACAUUUGCUUAGCCGUGGUGCAACAUGAGAUUUUUCGAUAAUCAUCGGGAUUUACAGCACAAAAUAGCAUGUUGAUGGCUUUGCAUUAUUUUCCACCUUUCUGAUAUCGUCCAUAUCGUAUUCGUCUUUCGACUUUGGGACGAGUUCAUCUCCAACCUUUUUAGUUGGAAGUUGUUCCCCAUUCUUUAUGAUUUUCCACAAUUGGAAGUUGCUUGAUUGAAUGAAAAU